ACAAAUAUUUACACAACAUGUACCUUUUGGAAGGUAUACCUGAUCUUUAAAGCAGGUAAACAUGUUCUAAAAAUGGACAUAUUAAUUUGAAAUAAUAUAGGAAGUUGAAGCUUAGAUUUUAUGAUAAACUUAAAAGAAUAGCUAGGUACAACUUUUCUGCUUUAUUUAAAUUUUAUUUUCUGGUUUAUUUAAAUUUAGUCAAAUUCUGUUUGUGGCAUUUAACUUCAUACUUGGAAAAAUAUACAGUCUCCCACUGUUGAGGAACUCUUCUGGAGAGUAUAUUUUUAUGUGAUAAUAAGUAGAGAUGAUGAAGAAAUGAUUUUUGUAUGCCAAAGGAUAGAUGUUUUUAUUUAAGCGAGAAUUAAUCAAAUCUGUUUUAAGAAAAUUAAUUACUUGAUUUUGAAAACUGUAAGAUAUACUAAUGAAGUUCUUAUGGAAAAUAACCUAUUUUGGAGUAAUACCCCAAGCUGGCAGAGGCUCAGUGAAACUAAAUAUUCUUAAGUGCCAUUGACACUAUUUAUUAUUGGUCUGUUUUUAAAGCAACAUGACAAUAUAGAGGAAGAGCAAUUAAGAUUCCCAUAUACUUUGACCCUGUAAUUCCAUCCUUAAGAAAUUAUUUCAAAGAAAUAGUUCAUUAGAGAUGAAAAGCUUAUUGUAACAUUGUCUAUCAUAGCAAAACAUGGAAACCACUUCAUUGUCCUGUGUUAGGGGAUUGGUUUACUUAAUGGUGCUACACCAACAAAACUGAAUACUGUGCUGUCAUUAAAAUGUGAGACUGGAGAAAUGUGUUUGUUCUGAUUUAGACAUUCUGUAUAGUAUGAUUACAGUGAUAUUUAAAAUAUGCAAAAGGUAAUAUAGAAAAAUGAAAAUAUAAAUAUGGUUAUGUUUGACUUCAUAUUUUUGUAAAUUGUUAAUGUUAUGAUACCUAUUCAAUUGUUUUUUAAGACAGAAAAUAACCUAUUUUUAUAUCCUGUGAAAUACAUCAAAGUUUUGGACUAUGAAAUUUAAAACAAGCAUGAAGGACUUGAGGAAUUGAAAAAUUGAAAUUGUUAUAUGUAUUUUAUUAAUAAGAAGUACAUGUUACUUUUAUUUUAAGAAUUACAUGGAUUAUUUAUCCCGACUAUAUGAAAGAGAAAUCAAAGAUUUCUUUGAAGUUGCAAAGAUCAAGAUGACUGGCACAACUAAAGAAAGCAAGAAGUUUGCUACACUGCCUCGAAAAGAAAGUGCUGUCAAACAGGAAACAGAGAGUCUUCAUGGAAGUUCGGGGAAAUUAACUGGAUCUACUUCUAGUCUAAAUAAGCUCAGUGUUCAGAGUUCAGGGAAUCGCAGAUCUCAGUCAUCUUCCCUGUUGGAUAUGGGAAACAUGUCUGCCUCUGAUCUCGAUGUUGCCGACAGGACCAAAUUUGAUAAGAUCUUUGAACAGGUACUAAGUGAACUGGAGCCCCUAUGUCUGGCAGAACAGGACUUCAUAAGUAAAUUUUUCAAACUACAGCAACAUCAAAGUAUGCCUGGAACUAUGGCUGAAGCAGAGGACCUGGAUGGAGGAACAUUAUCACGGCAACAUAAUUGUGGCACACCACUGCCUGUUUCAUCUGAGAAAGAUAUGAUCCGCCAAAUGAUGAUUAAAAUAUUUCGCUGCAUUGAGCCAGAGCUGAACAACCUAAUUGCAUUAGGAGACAAAAUUGAUAGCUUUAACUCUCUUUAUAUGUUAGUCAAAAUGAGUCAUCAUGUGUGGACUGCACAAAAUGUGGACCCUGCUUCUUUCCUAAGUACUACAUUGGGAAAUGUUUUGGUGACUGUCAAAAGGAACUUUGACAAAUGCAUUAGUAACCAAAUAAGGCAAAUGGAAGAAGUAAAGAUCUCAAAGAAGAGUAAAGUCGGAAUUCUUCCAUUUGUUGCUGAAUUUGAAGAAUUUGCUGGACUUGCAGAAUCAAUCUUCAAAAAUGCUGAGCGUCGUGGAGACCUGGAUAAAGCAUACACCAAACUUAUCAGAGGAGUAUUUGUUAAUGUGGAGAAAGUAGCAAAUGAAAGCCAGAAGACCCCCAGGGAUGUGGUUAUGAUGGAAAACUUUCACCAUAUUUUUGCAACUCUUUCUCGAUUGAAAAUCUCAUGUCUAGAAGCAGAAAAAAAAGAAGCCAAACAAAAAUACACAGAUCACCUUCAGUCUUAUGUCAUUUACUCUUUAGGACAACCUCUUGAAAAACUAAAUUUAUCUUUUAUAAGCUCUUAACUUGAAGUUAGAGUAAAAUAGCGCGGUGACUCACACCUGUAAUCCCAGCACUUUGGGAGGCCAAGGCAGGCGGAUAACGAGGUCAGAAGAUCGAGACCAUCCUAGCUAACAAGCAUUUCUUUGAAGGUGUUGAAGCUCGCGUGGCACAGGGCAUAAGGGAGGAGGAAGUAAGUUACCAACUUGCAUUUAACAAACAAGAACUUCGUAAAGUCAUUAAGGAGUACCCUGGAAAGGAAGUAAAGAAAGGUCUAGAUAACCUCUACAAGAAAGUUGAUAAACAUUUAUGUGAAGAAGAGAACUUACUUCAGGUGGUGUGGCACUCCAUGCAAGAUGAAUUUAUACGCCAGUAUAAGCACUUUGAAGGUUUGAUAGCUCGCUGUUAUCCUGGAUCUGGUGUUACAAUGGAAUUCACUAUUCAGGACAUUCUGGAUUAUUGUUCCAGCAUUGCACAGUCCCACUAAACCUUGUGAAAGAAGAAAAGAUAACUGAAUGAAGCAUUUGAGUAUACCAGACACUAUACCAAAAUACCAAGCAACUGUUUUGAGAACCCAGACUUAAAAUUUUAUGUAUUAUUAAAUGUUAGAUAAAUGGGUAGUACCAUACUACAAAUAUUUAAAUGCAAAAUUACCAACCUAUAUAGCAGUUUUAUUUGCCCUAUAGGUUGCAUACUAACUUAAGCGUUCAUGUCAUCAUAAAAUGCCUUUAGCAUUUCUCAAUGACUGGAUGGGAAAUUUUCCUUUAUUGCCUAGCUGCUUGUGUUUGAGUGGUUGUCCUAUGAGCAAUGCAUUUGGAGUUCUUCAGCUUUCACUACUUCUCUGUUGCUUGCUAAUCAUGUAACUACUAAAAUACUGUACAAAAUUGUUUUUUCACACUAACAAAUGUGUAUAUGGAGAAGAGGGCUCAUGUGAUGAUCAUUUGUGAACUUAGAUUUUUGAGGAUUAUGUGACUAGUAAUAAAUGUGAAAUAAAUUUUC
RNAcentral lists this small RNA (3203 nucleotides) under Pan troglodytes (chimpanzee). RNAcentral describes it as "retained intron". The record is from RNAcentral. Lineage: Eukaryota; Metazoa; Chordata; Mammalia; Primates; Hominidae.